GAGCGGUAAGGCCUUUCGGGGUACACGAGCGGCGAACGGGUGAGUAACACGUGGGUGAUCUGCCCUGCACUUCGGGAUAAGCCUGGGAAACUGGGUCUAAUACCGGAUAUGACCUCCUAUCGCAUGRYKGGUGGUGGAAAGAUUUAUCGGUGCAGGAUGGGCCCGCGGCCUAUCAGCUUGUUGGUGGGGUAAUGGCCUACCAAGGCGACGACGGGUAGCCGACCUGAGAGGGUGACCGGCCACACUGGGACUGAGACACGGCCCAGACUCCUACGGGAGGCAGCAGUGGGGAAUAUUGCACAAUGGGCGAAAGCCUGAUGCAGCGACGCCGCGUGAGGGAUGACGGCCUUCGGGUUGUAAACCUCUUUCAGCAGGGACGAAGCGCAAGUGACGGUACCUGCAGAAGAAGCACCGGCUAACUACGUGCCAGCAGCCGCGGUAAUACGUAGGGUGCAAGCGUUGUCCGGAAUUACUGGGCGUAAAGAGUUCGUAGGCGGUUUGUCGCGUCGUUUGUGAAAACCAGCAGCUCAACUGCUGGCUUGCAGGCGAUACGGGCAGACUUGAGUACUGCAGGGGAGACUGGAAUUCCUGGUGUAGCGGUGAAAUGCGCAGAUAUCAGGAGGAA
This 625-nucleotide ribosomal RNA is filed under the name Rhodococcus erythropolis. RNAcentral's name for it is "bacterial SSU rRNA". It matches the Rfam family "Bacterial small subunit ribosomal RNA", at positions 64 to 706 of the family's 1533-position model. The record is from RNAcentral. Lineage: Bacteria; Bacillati; Actinomycetota; Actinomycetes; Mycobacteriales; Nocardiaceae.